AACCCCUAACAGCUAGCCCUCCUCUACCAAAAACAACAAACACCAUUAAUAAACCCCCAUAAACAACAUAAACAAAACAAACCAUUUUUCCUCCCUAGUAUGGGCGACAGAAAAG
RNAcentral lists this ribosomal RNA (115 nucleotides) under Luciogobius punctilineatus (dot-lined earthworm goby). RNAcentral describes it as "partial 16S ribosomal RNA". The record is from RNAcentral. Lineage: Eukaryota; Metazoa; Chordata; Actinopteri; Gobiiformes; Gobiidae.